This 230-nucleotide ribosomal RNA is filed under the name uncultured bacterium. RNAcentral describes it as "partial 16S ribosomal RNA". It matches the Rfam family "Bacterial small subunit ribosomal RNA", at positions 564 to 791 of the family's 1533-position model. The record is from RNAcentral.
AGCGUGCGCAGGCGGUUAUAUAAGACAGAUGUGAAAUCCCCGGGCCUCAACCUGGGAACUGCAUUUGUGACUGUAUAGCUGGAGUGCGGCAGAGGGGGAUGGAAUUCCGCGUGUAGCAGUGAAAUGCGUAGAUAUGCGGAGGAACACCGAUGGCGAAGGCAAUCCCCCUGGGCCUGCACUGACGCUCAUGCACGAAAGCGUGGGGAGCAAACAGGAUUAGAUACCCUGGU